UACGGAGGAUGCGAGCGUUAUCCGGAUUUAUUGGGUUUAAAGGGUGCGUAGGCGGCUUGUUAAGUCAGCGGUGAAAUCUAGAGGCUCAACCUCGAAACUGCCGUUGAAACUGGCGAACUUGAGUGUAGAUGAGGUAGGCGGAAUUCGUGGUGUAGCGGUGAAAUGCAUAGAUAUCACGAGGAACUCCGAUUGCGAAGGCAGCUUACUAAGGUACAACUGACGCUGAAGCACGAAAGCGUGGGUAUCAAACAGG
RNAcentral lists this ribosomal RNA (253 nucleotides) under uncultured bacterium. RNAcentral's name for it is "partial 16S ribosomal RNA". It matches the Rfam family "Bacterial small subunit ribosomal RNA", at positions 524 to 776 of the family's 1533-position model. The record is from RNAcentral.